GACGAACGCUGGCGGCGUGCUUAACACAUGCAAGUCGAACGGUGAAGCGCCUUCCUUUUUGGUGGGUGUGGAUGAGAGGCGAACGGGUGAGUAACACGUGAGUAACCUGCCCCCUUCUUCUGGAUAACCGCAUGAAAGUGUGGCUAAUACGGGAUAUUCUGGGUCUGUCGCAUGAUGGGUCUGGGAAAGAUAUUGUUUCGGUGGGGGAUGGGCUCGCGGCCUAUCAGCUUGUUGGUGGGGUGAUGGCCUACCAGGGCGGUGACGGGUAGCCGGCCUGAGAGGGUGGACGGUCACACUGGGACUGCGACACGGCUCAGACUCCUACGGGAGGCAGACGUGGGGAGUAUUGCACAGUGGGCGCAAGCCUGAUGCAGCGGCGCCGCGUGAGGGAUGGAGGCCUUCGGGUUGUGAACCUCUUUCGCCAGUGAAGCAGGCCUGCCUCGUUUGUGGGUGGGUUGACGGUAGCUGGAUAAGAAGCGCCGGCUAACUACGUG
Molecule: ribosomal RNA, 494 nt
Filed under: uncultured bacterium
Lineage: Bacteria
Description: partial 16S ribosomal RNA
Rfam family: Bacterial small subunit ribosomal RNA
Source: RNAcentral